Non-coding RNA from Schistosoma rodhaini, 45 nucleotides. The record is from Rfam. Lineage: Eukaryota; Metazoa; Platyhelminthes; Trematoda; Strigeidida; Schistosomatidae.
AUCCAGCUGACGAAUCGCAAAUUUGACGAAACGCACGUCUUGAAU